AGUGAACGCUGGCGGUAGGCCUAACACAUGCAAGUCGAACGGCAGCACAGUAAGAGCUUGCUCUUACGGGUGGCGAGUGGCGGACGGGUGAGGAAUACAUCGGAAUCUACUUUUUCGUGGGGGAUAACGUAGGGAAACUUACGCUAAUACCGCAUACGACCUACGGGUGAAAGCAGGGGAUCUUCGGACCUUGCGCGAUUGAAUGAGCCGAUGUCGGAUUAGCUAGUUGGCGGGGUAAAGGCCCACCAAGGCGACGAUCCGUAGCUGGUCUGAGAGGAUGAUCAGCCACACUGGAACGGAGACGCGGUCCAGACUCCUACGGGAGGCAGCAGUGGGGAAUAUUGGACAAUGGGCGCAAGCCUGAUCCAGCCAUACCGCGUGGGUGAAGAAGGCCUUCGGGUUGUAAAGCCCUUUUGUUGGGAAAGAAAAGCAGCAGGUUAAUACCCCGCUGUUCUGACGGUACCCAAAGAAUAAGCACCGGCUAACUUCGUG
RNAcentral lists this ribosomal RNA (492 nucleotides) under uncultured bacterium. Its description in RNAcentral is "partial 16S ribosomal RNA". It matches the Rfam family "Bacterial small subunit ribosomal RNA", at positions 29 to 507 of the family's 1533-position model. The record is from RNAcentral.